Molecule: long non-coding RNA, 2004 nt
Organism: Triticum dicoccoides
Lineage: Eukaryota; Viridiplantae; Streptophyta; Magnoliopsida; Poales; Poaceae
Exons: 4
Source: RefSeq, a predicted model, not a curated record
GUGGGUGGUUUCUCUGCUCGGGUUGGUGGCUCGGUUAGAUUUGCUCGUCCGCCCGCGUAUUGCCGCCGUGCUGCGGACUGUGGGCACCAUGCUGGGAUGGCCCGCUGAUCUGUGACCCGUCCCCGUCGUCUUGGGUGUGGCUUGCUUGGUGCCAUGCUGCUGUGCCCGACGCGCGGCCGGGGCGCAGUGGACGUGCGUGUGUCACUCCGUGGGCUCGCUGCCGCGUCGCGUGCGUCUGCCAUGCCCAGGCUGCUGAGUGCCCUUCUUCCUUGUCUCCACCCCGCUGCAGCCUCUCCUCGUGGUCGUGGCUCGCCUAGCUUCCUUCGACUGUCCUCUGCUGCGGUCUGUUGCGGUGGCCUCAUUUGCUCUAUGGGCGCCGCUGGUUGGCUUGGUUCGACUUGCCGUUGUCGCCUGCGUUGAGCUGUGGGUCUUUCUGUCCUUCUCGUUCUGGUUGUUUUCCUCGUCUGUCCUGAUGUUUGGAUUGCGUGCUCCUCCUUCCUAGCUUUGGUUGUACGAUCUCGCCCGUUGCUGCUUGCCAUUUGGUUAUGUGGUACAGUGUGAAUCCGGUGGCAGCCCAGAUCUGAACUGCGCAUAGGGGCCGGUGUUCUCGGCCAGAUUUGGGCGUUCUUGCUGACUUUCUGUCUAACCUAUCCACAAGUAUACUCAGUGGCGGAGCUAGCUCCCGACGACCUGGGGCAGCUACCCGGGCUGCUCCGGCCAUUCUUCACUAAAAAUACAAAGAAACCAUGAUCAGCAUUACUAAUUACUUGGGCAAAUGCUGGGCAACAUCGUCGUGUAAAGACUUUGCCCCGGCUCCUUCAGCUGGCUGGCUCCGCCACUGAGUAUACUAGCCCAUUUCUGUUUAUUUGAUUUUCCUUUCCAAGUGCAUGGUUUAAUUUAUCCUGGUUUGCAUACCUUUUUUAUGUUACCUUGGUGGUCGAUGCAGAAUCACAAAUGCAAAAUGAGAUGCGCAAAUGUGACGACAGACCUAUGAUUCGCGUUCACAACUUGUUCUUGUUAAAAGAACUACUCUACAAGUUUGUUGCAAGUUACAGUAAUUGUGAGGAUAUGAUACCUUAUAGAAAUGAUGCCUUAGUGUUUCUUGCUUGCAUCUGCAUUGUUGCAUGCCAUGAUUGUGUUCUGACCAGUUCAUUUCUGUAUUUUACAGGUUGUAUGAUCUUGUCCGUUGCUGCAUCUCCGUUCUGCUCGUUGCUUCAUCGCCGUUACAAUUUUUGAGAUAUCUAAGCUGACGUCUCGAAUAGUUCAGAACAUUCAGUCGGAACUGCAGGAGUCAUCUUCACCUUAAUCUAAAAUAAGAAGGUUUUCCUUUUGCUAGAUCUCUGAAAAAUCUGUAGUGGAGUAAGCGCUGGCAUUACCUAUUGCUCUAGUUUUUGAAGUUAAUUGCAGCUGGCAAAGCUUGCACUAAUGUUUUGAGUUCCAUUGUUCGCUGUGUGGAAGUUACUGAAUUCUAUAGUAGUGGAACACUUGUUCUGGUCUGGUCAUCCUGUAAUUUUCCUUUUUGCAGCUUAACUAUUGUAGGGUAGACAGACUCUAUACAUACUGAAGAAAUGUGCCCGUCCGACAGUCCUUCAUGCUCAGUUGUAGACUUGUAGUGAUAGCUUUGGGUACUGUAUGCACUCUUUCAUGUAAUUGUGUUACCCCGGCGAAAUUUAUAACUAUGAUCUCACAUACUUCAACUUAGAUCUCAGGAAGCGCGGGUGCACUACAUUAUGGAAUGAAGGGAGCAUCUUAUACUGAGUUUAUGAGGAAACAACUGGACUGAUGUUAAUAAUCCAGUGUUGACAAUAAAAAAAGGUGGAAGCACAUUGAGUGGCUUUAGUUUUGUUACCGGACGUACAAUGUACCUUUACUGCACUGUUAUGGAUUCAGAUAAACUGGGCGUGGUGCAUGCCUUUGUAUUGUGUUCGUGAAUGUUGCUUUCUCCAUGUCAAGUCUUUUGUUCUUAGAAAAAAACUCUUUUGUUGCAUCCACAUUAACCAUAUA